CUUUCCUUUUUUUUUUUUUUUUUUAGUUUCGGCAGACACAACAUCUUUGUUUGUAUGUGGUGCUGAGGAUCGAACCGAGCCGCAUGCAUGCCAGGCGAGCGCGCUACAGCUUGAGCCACAUCCCCAGCCAUAUGUGGUUAAUUUCUAGACUUCAAAAUUGUUGAGAGCCACAGCCUUGAGAGCCACAGCCGAGUUGGGAUGGCGCCUAGCAUUUUGCCAGAAGGAGUGAUUGAGAGGUGUCCCUAGGGAGCCAUUAAGAUGAUGAUAAUUAAGUUAAGCUGUGUAUAAUUGCUGUGACUGGAUGAUGCUGGAUUGAAACAGGCUGUGUAUUCAGUUGUCUAUAGACCCCUGCUGUCCUGCAAUAGGGUGGCUCCUGCUGUCUCAGGCGCCCGCUACUUUUGAGUUCUCUCUACUUUUGAGUUCUUGCACCUCAGGCGCCCGCUUCUUUUGAGUUCUUCCUACUUUUGAGUUCUCACUGAGUUCCAGUUGAGUUCCCGUGGAGUUCGCGUGGAGCCUGGUGGAGAGGGAGAGAGUUCCUGGGAAGUGCUUGUGGAGUGCGGGUGAGAGUUCGGGCAUAAAGGAGUUCCUGUUUGAACCUACAAGUGGCUCAUGACCUCCCAAUUUGGUGCCCAGCCUGACUGCGGCAUUUGGUGGCCCGUGCGGGGGAUGCCUGAAGCUUGGUGUUAAGUGAAAUUGCUCACCCCUGAGGGAGGGCGAGAGAAUGGGUGUCCAUUUCAAAAAACAAUGUGUUCUUGUUUUGAUUUGUUUUGUUUUUGUUUCAAGCUGCCUGUCCCUAGAACUUUCUCAGGCAAACUGGGGAAAAUGGUUGGCUCAGAGUUUGAAGUUGUCCGGCCCUGAGGAAGAGAUAGAGAAAAACCAUGGAUACACAUAUCAAGAAAAUAGAAAAACUGAUACAAAGAAUUUUUGUUCCAUUUUUGUUUCAUUCUGUUUCGGUUUUGUUUUGUAUUAUCUUGUUGGGUUGGGUUAUCCAUGUAGCAGAAAUAUGGGGUCAGAAAUUAGCAAAAAACAAACGGAAAGAAUGUUAAGUAAAUUGUUAGAGGAAGGAGGCACCCCAGUAAAAGCAAGAACAGUCAGGGCAUACGUUGAUACAAUACAAAAAUGUAGCCCAUGGCUUUUUAAGGAGGAGUUGUUGAAUAUAUCACAAUGGGACCAUCAUGGUGAAGACUUAAGAAAGAGGGAAAAGAAAAACCCAGGAACUCUGCCAGUUGGCACAUUGCCAUUGUGGAUGAUGAUACGAUUUUGUUUGCCUAGUCCAAAGCUUUCAGUUCAGAUUAUGGUAGAAGACAUAUUAGAUCAGGAAAAAGAGGAGACCUCUCGAGAUAGUCAGAAAGGGGCAGAAAGUUUAGAGCAGAAAAAGCCAUCAGGGGGAAAGUUACAACAGGAGGCUGCUACUAACACCUUUGUAUCACCAGAGGGCGUAAGUGUCCAACCAACAGCUCCACCUAUGGAGACAACAUAUGCUGGGGGGCCCCAAACCCCCGUAGUUGAUAGAUGGGAUCCUGAGACAGGACCUCAAAGAUUAAGAUGCCCUGUAUUUGAGACAACAGAAGGGCAGCGAAUUCACCGUGCUCUAGAUUUCAAAACAGUGAAGCAGCUGAAAGAGGCUGUAACAACCUAUGGUCCUCAAACACCCUUCACUGUAAGUAUGGUCGAAUCCAUUACCUACUUUGACAUGACGCCAGCAGAUUGGGCUAGUAUGUGCAAAGCUGUGCUAAAUGGAGGACAAUAUCUGUUAUGGAAGGUUGCCAAUCAGGAAUUUUGCAUGGAGACGGCUAAGCGAAAUGCAGCAGCUGGUUAUCCUCAGAGAAAUUUAGAUAUGUUGUUAGGAAAGGGACCUUAUGAGAGUCAGUUGCAACAAAUUAGAUAUGAUCCUGCCAUAUACUCACAAAUCGCUUUAGCUGCAGUUAGGGCAUGGAAAACUUUACAGGGGCAUGGAGAUUUACAAUUAUCUAAGGUAAUACAAGGAACUAAUGAACCUUAUGCUGAAUUUGUAGAUAGGCUUAUACAAACAGCUACCAGAAUCUUUGGGGAUGUAGAACAAGCGAUGCCAUUAAUAAAACAACUAGCUUACGAGCAAGCAAACAAAUGUUGCAGGGAGGUCAUUAGACCAUGGAAACAUGGAGAUUUAAACACAUAUAUUAAAUUAUGUAGAGACAUUAAUGAACGGGAGCAAGUCUUGGCAACUGCAAUACAACAGGCUUUAGGUGCCAGGCCAAAAACAUGCUACAGUUGUGGACAAACAGGACAUUUUAGAAGGAGUUGCUUCAUAGGAGGAGGGUUUAACAAAACUAGAUAUGAUCAAAGGGGUAAAAUACCAGGUAUUUGCCCAUGAUGCCAUAGAGGGAGACAUUGGGCUAAUGAAUGCCGUUCUCAAACCACCAUAGAGGGUAUUUCUUUAUCAAAAAACUGACAAGGACCAGGUGUUGACCCACGAUACCAUGGAGAAAAGCAUCGUGCUCCAUUGCCAAAAAACGGACAGGAGGGCCCAAUGCUCCGGGGCCCACUACCACAAAUAUACGGGGCACUGGAGGAACCCAGCAACACCAUCAGGGCAGUGCCCAGGACACAUUAUCCAUUAGAGUGCUCAUGAAAAAAUGGAUCCAAAUAUUUUUAUUAUUCAUGUGAUUUAAAUGGUUUAAUUUAAAUUGGGUAAACAGCUGUUGAGGAUUGUUUUAAUAUGUGAACAAAAAAGGAGAUUAACAGAUCUGUUUGUUUACUUUCACCUUUCCUUUUCAUUAUAUCUAAUUCUAUUCAGAAUACUAAAUUGUUUAGAAAAUUGUUUUUUUUUAGUGCCUGCUGGAAUGUUACAUAAUUUUUUUUAGCCAUCAUUGCCAGAAUUCCUGUCUUCAUCCCAGUGCUGGUGAAGACAAAGAUAAAACCGAAAUACAGCUUCUGCGAUAGCUAUCACAACAAACUGUAUAAACUGAUGCAUCAAUGAAUAAUAACUCAACAAGUGAUGCUCAAUCAAGGAGUCGAUUUACUUUGGGAGGAAAUGGACAUAUAGAUGGAUUCCUCUGCUUUGAACUGCUUGCAGAACUUGCCUGGACUAUGUAUCACUUGUAUGCAUUGUGAACUAUCUGUUGGUGCAACGAAUUGUGGUAGUGCUGCGGUAUCUUUGCUGAUGGUGUCAUCGGUGGUACAAUUUUUCCAAAAGGAACUCUCAUUUGGCUUGAGAUCGUGGCAUUUUGCAUCCUCCUCCCUUUUGCUUGUGAUGGUCUAAAAUUUGGGGGCCAACAGAGGUGAGGCAAAGAACCUCACCCCCCCCUCCACUGGCACCAAGGCCAAAUUUGGGGGCCAACAGAGGUGAGGCAAAGAACCUCACCCCCCCCACUGGCACCAAGGCCAAAUUUGGGGGGCCAACAGAGGUGAGGCAAAGAACCUCACCCCCUCACUGGUGCAAAGCUCAAACUUGGGGGCCAAUAGAGGUGAGGCAAAGAACCUCACCCCCUCACUGGUCCAAAGGCCUAUCCACAAGUAUGGCUGUAUGCUGGACCAGUAGUCAAUGACUGGUAAGAUCCAAUUGCAGUGGUACCAACCUAAGACAGGAGGCUGAUGCCUUGAGGUCAGCUCAUCCUCUGACAAGUAAGGACCAUAUGUAGUAUGGGACAACCUAAGACAGGCAUGUUCCCUAAGCCACAUUGCUUGUUGUUUAAUUAAACAGAAUAGAGGAGAUGUUGAGGGCCACAGCCAAGUCACUAUGACUCAUGGCAUUUUGCUAGAAGGGAGUGGUUGAGAGGUGACAGGAGUGAGCCAUUGAGAUGAUGAUGGUUAUGUUAAGCUGUGUAUUCAAUUGUAUAUAUGACCUUUACUGUCCAGCAAUAGGGCAGCUCUUGCUGCCUCAGGUGCCCCCUACUUUGGAGUUCCCUUUGAGUUCUCCCAGUGGUUCCCAGAGUGAGUGCGUGCACAGCCCAGGGGAGUGGGGGAGAGUUCCCAGGGCGUGUGCCUGGAGUGCUGGUGGAGUUCAGGCAAUAAAGUUUCCUGUUUGAACAUACAAGUGCUUUGUGG
RNAcentral lists this long non-coding RNA (4026 nucleotides) under Marmota monax (woodchuck). The record is from RNAcentral. Lineage: Eukaryota; Metazoa; Chordata; Mammalia; Rodentia; Sciuridae.